AAUACUAACCCUUCCUAUAGUUUCACCAUAGGUUGUACAGAUAGGGUUUCAACUUUCAAUAGUUUCACCAAAUCGAUCGCUGAUUUCAUAACCCACUUCUCAAUUCUUUACUUUAUUACUUCGUCUUCUCUUAUUAUCGAUCUGAUCUGAUUGAUUCAAUUGUUGAUGAUGGUUUUCAUAUAUUUAUUCGUCAUCUACAACAUUGAGUUUUGUUUGUUCAUUCAUCAAUGUUAUUCAACUACUUCUACCGUAAUUUCCUUGAUUAAUGGCAUUACAAAAGUGAUGGAUUCGACGGAGGAGCUUGGACAACUGCCUAACCAACUUCAAAUUCUGAAAGGCCCUUCCUUUCUUCAUUCUGCUGCUGCUCAAAAUCAAUCCCACAAAGAGUCUCCGAUAGAAGUCGACAAAGACAUUGGAAGGCUUAUAGGCAAGGCUUCUACUACUGUUGUUGUUGAGGAAAUGGCUACAUCAACCAGUUGUAGCAAAAUUGACUCUUUGCCUAUUAACGAGGCCCCAAAGAAUGGGGAAUCACUCAGAUGCGAUUUUGUGGAGUUCGAAACAUUUGCGAACGAUCCUGUGUCCAAUUCUAGUUGUAUGCUGGAAAUUGUAAGGUCUGAUGUGGCAAUUGAAGACAUGAAUCAGGAGCCACAAAUGGAAAACCAGAGUAAAGAUGCAAAUGUAUCCAACUGACAAGCUUGCCUAAAUAUUAGUAAUGUUCAUCAUCCAGGUUUGAUGGCUCUAAACCAAACCACACUGCAAGUAAGAAAAAGAAAAAGUUUGAACCGGAUUAGUUCAAUAUAAAACAUUCUCACUCAGAUAGAUAGAUAGAUAUGGUUUCAACUUUCAAUAGCUUCACUGGCGAGCGGCGCUGAAAUAAGAGUCUGAUUUCAAUCCUCCGCUAGAUCUGAUUCAAUUGUCGACGAUGGUUUUCAUUUAUUUAUUCGUCAUCUACAACAUUGACUUUUGUUUGGUCAUUCAUCAAUGUUAUUCACCUAUUACAACCAUGAUUUCCUUGAUUAAUCAUAUUGCAAAAGAGGUGGAUCAAAGCCAAGGCUGAAGAGUUGGGUUGUGAGCCCACGUUAGAUGAGCUCUUUGUAAAAACUCACACCAAAAGGAAGAACCCACGUUACUAUUUCAACAACCGUAAUUUCCUUGAUUAAUCUUAUUUUACAAAGGGAAUGAUUACUUUGAUCUAGCAGCGGCUCUUUCAUGUCCUCCAGCUCAUUCAAGUUAACUGUAAUUUCCUUUGACCUUUCUUUUUGUAAGCAAAUCGAUAAAACAAAAAAUUAUAUUAGUUGUAUUAUUUUAUUCAAAAGUUGUAAAAGGUUGUGUUUAACUAGUAAUGAAAUCAUGUUUAUAAAGUAGUGUUGUUUCUACUACUAACAUCAAGAACAAUAUAACGAUCUUCGUCUACAAGUAUAUAUGUUAUUCAAAA
This is a long non-coding RNA of Medicago truncatula (barrel medic), 1435 nucleotides long. RefSeq lists it as uncharacterized. The record is from RefSeq and is a predicted model, not a curated record. The transcript is spliced from 3 exons. Lineage: Eukaryota; Viridiplantae; Streptophyta; Magnoliopsida; Fabales; Fabaceae.